This 520-nucleotide ribosomal RNA is filed under the name uncultured Glomus. Its description in RNAcentral is "SSU rRNA". It matches the Rfam family "Eukaryotic small subunit ribosomal RNA", at positions 569 to 1091 of the family's 1831-position model. The record is from RNAcentral. Lineage: Eukaryota; Fungi; Glomeromycota; Glomeromycetes; Glomerales; Glomeraceae.
AGCAGCCGCGGUAAUUCCAGCUCCAAUAGCGUAUAUUAAAGUUGUUGCAGUUAAAAAGCUCGUAGUUGAAUUUCGGGAUCAAUUAAUCGGUCGUGCCUCUGGUACGCACUGGUUUUAUUGGUUUCUCCCUUCUGACGAACCAGGAUGUCAUUAAUUUGGUGUCUUGGAGAAUCAGGACUGUUACUUUGAAAAAAUUAGAGUGUUUAAAGCAGGCUAACGCUUGAAUACAUUAGCAUGGAAUAAUGAAAUAGGACGUUUGAUCCUAUUUUGUUGGUUUCUAGGAUCGACGUAAUGAUUAAUAGGGAUAGUUGGGGGCAUUAGUAUUCAAUUGUCAGAGGUGAAAUUCUUGGAUUUAUUGAAGACUAACUAUUGCGAAAGCAUUUGCCAAGGAUGUUUUCAUUAAUCAAGAACGAAAGUUAGGGGAUCGAAGACGAUCAGAUACCGUCGUAGUCUUAACCAUAAACUAUGCCGACUAGGGAUCGGAUGAUGUUAAUUUUUAAUGACUCAUUCGGCGCCUUAC